CUGGUUCAUCCUUUUGAGGAUGUUUUAUUGGGUGUAUUCACUGUAGCUUAAUGUGGAGCAGUUCAGAUGGUUCAGUAGUCAUGGUAUGAGCUUCAGAAGCAACACGAGCUAAAGCUCUCCAGAGAGCCAGUGGGAAUCCGAGAACUCCGAGACUGACGGGAGCUCAUAAUGUGGUAUUACUUGAAGCAUACCUGCCCUUUCCAUUGAGAAGACUUCACACACCCCGCAAAAUGUCGCCCGUAUCUGAAGGCUACUGUGGCAACCUUGUGUCCUCGCGUUCGGUCCGAUGAGGAUCAAAACGGAAGGUGAUUCAGCCAACAAUCCCCUAUUUCGAAUAACAGGUCUGCUCGAAAAGCUGCUGCGAAUCACACGUCGAAUGGUUAACGAGUGGAAACCUUUAAAGAAAAAUAGAGAGGAAAUUGGUAAUGCUGUUAUUAUGGCUGCUCACCGCAACACUACAUUGGAGGAUGGUUUCCCCACUCUGAAGCCGAGACGCAUCCAGAACCAGAACGUGGUCUACAGGCUAGAGAGGCGUCGGAUCUGCUCCGGUCCACUCGGGGCUCAUUGGUACCGUGUGCGCUGUUUCCACCAGAACCUGUUCCCCAACUUCACAGUGGUGAACGUGGAGAAGCCGCCCUGCUUCCUGCGCAAGUUCUCCCCUGACGGACGAUGCUUUAUUGCAUUCUCCUCUGAUCAAACUUCCUUGGAAAUCUACGAGUACCAGGGAUGCCAAGCCGCUGAAGAUCUUCUCCAGGGUCAGGACGGAGAAACGUUGGCCAAUGGGAACGACCAGCGCUCCCUCAACAUCAGAGGCAGACUCUUCGAACGCUUCUUCUCGCUGCUCCACGUCACCAACGUGGCUUCCAACGGUGAGCACUUGAAUAGAGAGUGCAGUCUUUUCACCGACGACUGCCGCUAUGUGAUCGUCGGCUCCGCUGCCUACUUGCCGGAGGAACCUCAUCCGCACUUUUUCGAGGUGUACAGAAACAACGAAUCCGUGACACCAAACCCACGCUCACCCCUUGAAGACUACUCUCUGCACAUCAUAGACCUGCACACAGGCCGACUGUGUGAUACACGCACCUUUAAGUGUGACAAAAUCAUCCUGUCACACAAUCAAGGACUGUACCUGUACAGAAAUAUAUUGGCUGUGCUUUCUGUGCAGCAACAGACCAUACAUGUUUUCCAGGUGACACCAGAAGGAACGUUCCUUGACGUGCGCACCAUCGGCCGUUUUUGUUACGAGGAUGACCUGUUGACGCUGUCUGCGGUUUACUCCGAAGCCCAGGCUGAAGGCCAGCCCGGUUUCUCCCGCCUUUAUAAGGAGAAAACCAUCAACUCAUUGAAGCACCGUCUCCUGGUGUACCUGUGGAGGAGGGCAGAGCAGGACGGCAGUGCCACGGCCAAGCGGCGGUUCUUUCAAUUCUUCGAUCAGCUCAGGCAGCUGCGCAUGUGGAAGAUGCAGCUCCUGGACGAACAUCACCUGUUCAUCAAGUACACCAGCGAAGAUGUAGUCACACUGAGGGUCACCGACCCCUCGCAGCCCUCUUUCUUCGUGGUUUACAAUAUGCUAACCACUGAGGUUAUUGCAGUUUUCGAGAACACUUCUGACAAACUUCUGGAGCUUUUUGAAAACUUCUGCGACCUCUUCCGUAACGCCACACUCCACAGCGAGGCUGUGCAGUUCCCCUGCUCUGCUUCCAGCAACAACUUUGCCCGCCAGGUACAACGCAGGUUCAAAGACACCAUCGUGAAUGCCAAAUACGGAGGGCACACAGAAGCGGUCAGAAGGCUUCUUGGUCAGCUGCCCAUCAGUGCUCAGUCCUACAGCAGUAGCCCGUAUCUGGAUCUUUCCCUCUUCAGCUACGAUGACAAGUGGGUGUCUGUCAUGGAGCGGCCAAAGACCUGUGGCGAUCAUCCCAUAAGGUUCUAUGCGAGGGACUCUGGAUUGCUGAAAUUUAAGAUCCAGGCAGGCCUGCUGGGCAGACCCAUUAACCACACUGUCAGGAGACUGGUCGCGUUCACCUUCCAUCCCUUCGAGCCCUUCGCCAUCUCUGUGCAGCGCACCAACGCCGAAUACGUUGUCAACUUUCACAUGCGCCACGGAUGCGUAUGAUAUUGCAUGUAGUAUCUGAGCAGGUUCCCCAUUGAUUCGUGAAGUCUCUUGUCACUUGCCGUCAGUCAGUCAAAGAAAGCACACAUACUCCAUUGCAAUACCUUUCUCCAUUAAACCAGAGGAGGGCAGUGCUUUAUUCACAGGGAAGCCUUCUCCAGAGGACGAGAUCUGGGAGUUUAUCCUCAAACGCAGAAUAACACCACGCUGUGUCAGCAGUCAGGUCUGAAACAUUGUCAUGAAUCAGAGGGGACGGAGAUGUUGUCCAACCUAUGGAAGGAAAACGGCGAGGGAGAAAUUGAAAGGGAAACCGAGGGCAUCGUGCUUCUCACAAGCUGACAAUUCCACCGACUCUGUCAGACAGCAGUUGACUGCUACUCUGCUAUUCCUGUUCGAGGGCUGAACCCACUCUGCCUUGUUGGCACAGAUAUUUUUAGCCCUGGCGUUUGGCAGAGAGACCAGCACUAAGAGUGAUGGGGCCACACAGGCCUCCAACGGCAAAAGGGCAGCAGUGGGAAGAAGAGGGCGGAGGCGGGGAAGGUCACAUGGGCCACUGGAGACGAGAGAGUGGAGGAUGAGGUGAUGAGAUCUGCUGAUUGAAAUCUGUCAUUGACAGGCUGCUGCUUAUACCUGUGAAAGCAGAAACCCACGGCUCCACUAAAACAAGCAUUCUGGCCACACAUGCUGAUGGAAAGCACCAGUACAGACAUGGGCUCUACAGUGAGAUGAGGGGCCGCCCGCUGCGCUGAAGAUGCGGCAUGAGGGGCUUUGUGCUGGGAAGCAGAGAAACUGUCAUGUCCGCUUCUAUUCUCUUCUUCCUCUGUGAAUUCAGAAAGUGCCAGCAGGCCUAAUGUGAAGCUUUGUGGGAGAGCUUCAUGAGAUUUAAACAGAAGAAAGUCAACAAAUUUGAAACGACAUGAGGGGUGGUACCGGACAAACUGUUGGGCGUAUGCUGUGGGCAAUGAAGGAUUGAAUCACCCCGGGGAGGAUGUCUAAUAUACCUGGAGACUGGAGCUGUCCAUUAGCAUUCCCAUUUACCUCCACUGGCACAUUAGCCCUGGAGGUACACGACCAAGUUCAUGCCAUCUUUGCUUCAUACAGGCACUGUUUUCAUUUCCAUCAACCACUCUGGAUUCUACAUAUAGCCCUUAAACUAAUGAAAAUUAAGCAAAAAUUUUCAGAUAAAUUUGGUUAUUUUCAACACAGCUCGUCUGUUUUCAACAUUGAUAAUAUUAAGAUAUGGAUAAUGUGAAAGAAGACUAGUGAUGGCUGCUGGAAAUGUAGCUAUAAAUUAUGUAUUGUAAAAUAUACAGUAAUAAUGUCACAAUAUUAUUAGUAGUAUUAUUAGAAUUGGUGGGCAUAAGAGAUUUCUGUCAAAAACAUUACAAAAAUCGACUUUUGAAUGUCAGUGUGUAAUAUACAGUAUGUAACGCAGGCCAGUAAGAGCUGCAAACUCCCCUGGCCACUUUUGCCACUUUUGAAGGAACUAGUCACUAUCCUGGUUAAACCUUCCCCAGUAAACCAAUGUAAUCUCGUCUUUGUAAUGGUUACUAUCAAUGACUGACAGCUGAAUUGGUCUGGAGAUUAUACCUCAUGAAGGUUGGUGAAUUUAGUAGCUGGCAUUUAAAUAAUCCUGUAUUUCCUUUAUCCCUCCAAAAUAUUAUAUAUUGUCCUUUCCAACGGCUCCUUUCCACACUUUCUGGGUGUUGCUGUACUGUUUGGGCCUUAAGACCUCUUCCCCAUGGCUGUAAGUGUAAACAAUCCCACAGCUCAAACAGUACAGCAUAAUGCUACUGCGGAAAUGCCAAGCCCAUGGGUUCGAUCCCCAGAGAAUGCAUGAACUGAUCAAAUGUGUUCUUUGUAUGUAAUUUAAAAGGUACUGUGUGACCCUGCAUUUUGCAGAUGAACAUUGUUUUGGUUGUGCUUUGGAUCUGCAUGACUGUGUGGAUAAAUGAAUUUCUGCAACUGUGUUUAGAUGGAAAGGAUCUCAAGCUGACUAGCUGAAGACUUCACUGUGGCUUUUCGCAUUAAUAGACAGUACUUCCUUUAUAACUCCCAUACAUUUCAGCAUGGUGCUACAACAACCAUAAUGAAAUAACCCUUCACAAUAGAUAAUGUUUUACAAUGUACUAUGUUAGAGAGCUAUAUAUAGCACUUUAUCUGUUCAAUAACAUACUUUACUCAUCUGUUGAGUAUAAAAAUACCAUCGCCGUGUCACUUUUACAUUUACAUUUACAUAAAUCCCUUAAUUU
Molecule: non-coding RNA, 4365 nt
Organism: Pimephales promelas (fathead minnow)
Lineage: Eukaryota; Metazoa; Chordata; Actinopteri; Cypriniformes; Leuciscidae
Source: RefSeq, a predicted model, not a curated record